GAUGAACGCUGGCGGCGUGCCUAAUACAUGCAAGUCGAGCGAACAGAUGAGGAGCUUGCUCCUCUGACGUUAGCGGCGGACGGGUGAGUAUCACGUGGAUAACCUACCUAUAAGACUGGGAUAACUUAGGGAAACCGGAGCUAAUACCGGAUAAUAUAUUGAACCGCAUGGUUCAAUAGUGAAAGACGGUUUUGCUGUCACUUAUAGAUGGAUCCGCGCCGCAUUAGCUAGUUGGUAAGGUAACGGCUUACCAAGGCAACGAUGCGUAGCCGACCUGAGAGGGUGAUCGGCCACACUGGAACUGAGACACGGUCCAGACUCCUACGGGAGGCAGCAGUAGGGAAUCUUCCGCAAUGGGCGAAAGCCUGACGGAGCAACGCCGCGUGAGUGAUGAAGGUCUUCGGAUCGUAAAACUCUGUUAUUAGGGAAGAACAAAUGUGUAAGUAACUAUGCACGUCUUGACGGUACCUAAUCAGAAAGCCACGGCUAACUACGUG
RNAcentral lists this ribosomal RNA (497 nucleotides) under uncultured bacterium. RNAcentral's name for it is "partial 16S ribosomal RNA". It matches the Rfam family "Bacterial small subunit ribosomal RNA", at positions 28 to 507 of the family's 1533-position model. The record is from RNAcentral.